Molecule: ribosomal RNA, 253 nt
Filed under: Gemmiger formicilis
Lineage: Bacteria; Bacillati; Bacillota; Clostridia; Eubacteriales; Oscillospiraceae
Description: partial 16S ribosomal RNA
Rfam family: Bacterial small subunit ribosomal RNA
Source: RNAcentral
AACGUAGGGUGCAAGCGUUGUCCGGAAUUACUGGGUGUAAAGGGAGCGCAGGCGGACCGGCAAGUUGGAAGUGAAAACUAUGGGCUCAACCCAUAAAUUGCUUUCAAAACUGCUGGCCUUGAGUAGUGCAGAGGUAGGUGGAAUUCCCGGUGUAGCGGUGGAAUGCGUAGAUAUCGGGAGGAACACCAGUGGCGAAGGCGACCUACUGGGCACCAACUGACGCUGAGGCUCGAAAGCAUGGGCAGCAAACAGG